UUAAAGAUUAUGAUGAGGAAGAGUAAAUAAAUUACUAUUUUAAGAGAGAGAAAUCCAACGGCUGAAAGGUUUCUUAAAUAAGUUCUAUUGAAAACCACCUCGAAGUUGAUUAUUGAAGUCUGGAUAUUAUAAAAUAUCUUAGUAGAUAAUUCCGUUUGCCAGCGUUAAUGGUAUUUGAGUGGCAGAAGUUAAUUAAAAAUCAUUCUUCUGUAAUUUGGGUGGAAUCACGAGUUUAAUCGUCCCUUAG
RNAcentral lists this non-coding RNA (247 nucleotides) under Clostridium cavendishii. RNAcentral describes it as "T-box sequence". It matches the Rfam family "T-box leader". Rfam says of the family: Uncharged tRNA acts as the effector for transcription antitermination of genes in the T-box leader family. Lineage: Bacteria; Bacillati; Bacillota; Clostridia; Eubacteriales; Clostridiaceae. The record is from RNAcentral.